GGUCUCGUUGUGUAGCGGUUAACACGCCUGCCUGUCACGCAGGAGAUCGCGGGUUCGAUUCCCGUCGAGACCGCCA
Molecule: transfer RNA, 76 nt
Filed under: Staphylococcus aureus
Lineage: Bacteria; Bacillati; Bacillota; Bacilli; Caryophanales; Staphylococcaceae
Description: tRNA-Asp
Rfam family: tRNA
About the family: Transfer RNA (tRNA) molecules are approximately 80 nucleotides in length. Their secondary structure includes four short double-helical elements and three loops (D, anti-codon, and T loops).
Source: RNAcentral